AUUUUAAACAACUGGCUGUUCUCUCCGCCGCCGCCCCUCCCCCCGCGCCGCCCGCGCUCGGCUCCUCACUGGAGAGAAGGCGCCGGGAGGAGGGGAAAGUGCGGCCUGGAGUUGCUGGUCGGAGCCGGCGGAGCUGGAGCUGUGGCGGCCCCAGACUUUGGGGCGCCCGCCGAGUACACAGACAGACCUACGGCCCCAGCCUUCGUGGGAGCCCCACCAGCCCCUUCUCCUGCUCCUCUCCUGGCUGUGACCCCGCGCCAGUACCCUGGAUUAAUCUCUACCGUCCUCAGCCCUACUCCCUCGGGUGUCGACCCCCUCCCCAUCCCCCCCACCACACCCUGCUCCUAGAGGGCCUCAGGCAGGGGACUCACACGCUGCUCCCUGGACUUCUGUUUGAGCGACCCAGAGCGUCUCGCCUUCUCUCCUGGGGAGAGAUUGUCCCUCUCGCCCUGGGGGCGCCGCUGGGGUGGCGUCUCCUCGCCCCUGGGGCGCGCCCAGCUUCCCAGGGGAACACCCUGCCUCAGGCCUGCCUCCUCUCUUUAGAGUGAUUUGGCGGUGGAGACAUGACAUUCAUGCACUCAGAAGAACCGGGAGGAGUAAUGCUGAGGACUAGGGGGAAAAGAAUGGGAGGAGGGAAGACAACAGGUAAAAGAAGGAAUGGAAAGAUGAGAGGACGCAAGAGCUGAGGCAAGAACAAUGGAAGGAGUGCAAGAAAGUUGGAAU
This is a long non-coding RNA of Suricata suricatta (meerkat), 723 nucleotides long. RefSeq lists it as uncharacterized. The record is from RefSeq and is a predicted model, not a curated record. The transcript is spliced from 3 exons. Lineage: Eukaryota; Metazoa; Chordata; Mammalia; Carnivora; Herpestidae.